GACGAACGCUGGCGGCGUGCUUAACACAUGCAAGUCGAACGGAAAGGCCCUGCUUUUGUGGGGUGCUCGAGUGGCGAACGGGUGAGUAACACGUGAGUAACCUGCCCUUGACUUUGGGAUAACUUCAGGAAACUGGGGCUAAUACCGGAUAGGAGCUCCUGCUGCAUGGUGGGGGUUGGAAAGUUUCGGCGGUUGGGGAUGGACUCGCGGCUUAUCAGCUUGUUGGUGGGGUAGUGGCUUACCAAGGCUUUGACGGGUAGCCGGCCUGAGAGGGUGACCGGCCACAGAGGGACUGAGAAACGGCCCAGACUCCAAAGGGAGGCAGCAGUGGGGAAUAGUGCACAAUGGGCGGAAGCCUGAUGCAGCAACGCCGCGUGCGGGAUGACGGCCUUCGGGUUGUAAACCGCUUUCGCCUGUGACGAAGCGUGAGUGACGGUAAUGGGUAAAGAAGCACCGGCUAACUACGUG
Molecule: ribosomal RNA, 468 nt
Filed under: uncultured bacterium
Lineage: Bacteria
Description: partial 16S ribosomal RNA
Rfam family: Bacterial small subunit ribosomal RNA
Source: RNAcentral